GCAACCGAGGCUGACUGGUUGCGGCGUUCGCUUGGUAAGCGAGUGGUCCUGGGUUCAAUUCCCAUCUGUUCCC
This 73-nucleotide transfer RNA is filed under the name Culex quinquefasciatus (southern house mosquito). It matches the Rfam family "tRNA". From Rfam's summary of the family: Transfer RNA (tRNA) molecules are approximately 80 nucleotides in length. The record is from Rfam by way of RNAcentral. Lineage: Eukaryota; Metazoa; Arthropoda; Insecta; Diptera; Culicidae.